UUUUGUUUUCUUUUUGAGACAAAGUUUCUCUCAGUGUCCCUGGCUGUCCUGGAAUUUGAUCUGUAGACCAGACUGAACUCAAACUCAAGAUUACCAACUUGUUUCUGCCUCCCGAGUUGGAGGAGCAUCCUGUGUGCUAGGACUAAAGUGCUUUUCGAGGAAGCAAUCUGAAGCAGGAUACUCUCUGGAGAUGUGGAGAAUCCUCUGACGAUCAUUUGACUGUGAGCUGCUGCUGCCCUGACUGAUGUUCAGGAAGCCAACAUAAACAAUGAAGGAAAUAAGGAGAAAGGCUCUAUUCACAAAAGCAAUGUAACAGUAGGUAUGCCAAGACACUUAUGAAGAAAAUUAGCUGACAGGAAUGUGUGAAUAAGAGAAAGUGUGUUACUAAAUCAAAACUCAAUCCAAAACAACUGAAGAUGGAGGGCAGAGGCAGAUGGCACUCUACUGUAUCCCCAUGAGCUGAUCAGAAGAGAAGGCCACAGACAACAACAGAGAGUUAAAAAAAAAUCUACAAGUAUUGAAUGUUAGAUUUACGAACGAACUAACAUACUGAAACUCAGAGGACUGGUCAGAAGAGCAGAAGAGGUGGGAAGGCUUGCUCUGGGGCCACAAAUGGAAGAGAAAGUUCCAGGGACUGAACUGCAACA
Molecule: long non-coding RNA, 647 nt
Organism: Mus caroli (Ryukyu mouse)
Lineage: Eukaryota; Metazoa; Chordata; Mammalia; Rodentia; Muridae
Source: RefSeq, a predicted model, not a curated record